GACGAACGCUGGCGGCGUGCUUAACACAUGCAAGUCGAACGGUAAGGCCCUUCGGGGUACACGAGUGGCGAACGGGUGAGUAACAUGUGGGUGAUCUGCCCUGCACUUCGGGAUAAGCCUGGGAAACUGGGUCUAAUACCGGAUAGGACUCCGGACUGCAUGGUCUGGGGUGGAAAGCUUUUGCGGUGUGGGAUGGGCCCGCGGCCUAUCAGCUUGUUGGUGGGGUGAUGGCCUACCAAGGCGACGACGGGUAGCCGGCCGGAGAGGGUGACCGGCCACACUGGGACUGAGAUACGGCCCAGACUCCUACGGGAGGCAGCAGUGGGGAAUAUUGCACAAUGGGCGCAAGCCUGAUGCAGCGACGCCGCGUGAGGGAUGACGGCCUUCGGGUUGUAAACCUCUUUCAGCAUCGACGAAGCGAAAGUGACGGUAGGUGCAGAAGAAGGACCGGCCAACUACGUGCCAGCAGCAGCCGCGG
RNAcentral lists this ribosomal RNA (478 nucleotides) under uncultured bacterium. RNAcentral's name for it is "partial 16S ribosomal RNA". It matches the Rfam family "Bacterial small subunit ribosomal RNA", at positions 28 to 523 of the family's 1533-position model. The record is from RNAcentral.